This 497-nucleotide ribosomal RNA is filed under the name uncultured bacterium. RNAcentral describes it as "partial 16S ribosomal RNA". It matches the Rfam family "Bacterial small subunit ribosomal RNA", at positions 28 to 507 of the family's 1533-position model. The record is from RNAcentral.
GAUGAACGCUGGCGGCGUGCCUAAUACAUGCAAGUCGAGCGAACAGACGAGGAUCUUGCUCCUCUGACGUUAGCGGCGGACGGGUGAGUAACACGUGUAUAACCUACCUAUAAGACUGGGAUAACUUCGGGAAACCGGAUCUAAUACCGGAUAAUAUAUUGAACCGCAUGGUUCAAUAGUGAAAGACGGUUUUGCUGGCACUUAUAGAUGUAUCCGCGCCGCAUUAGCUAGUUGGUAAGGUAACGGCUUACCAAGGCGACGAUGCGUAGCCGACCUGAGAGGGUGAUAGGCCACACUGGAACUGAGACACGGUCCAGACUACUACGGGAGGCAGCAGUAGGGAAUCUUCCGCAAUGGGCGAAAGCAUGACGGAGCAAGGCCGCGUGAGUGAUGAAGGUCUUCGGAUCGUAAAACUCUGUUAUUAGGGAAGAACAAAUGUGUAAGUAAAUAUGCACGUCUUGACGGUACCUAAUCAGAAAGCAACGGCUAACUACGUG